This 397-nucleotide ribosomal RNA is filed under the name uncultured bacterium. RNAcentral's name for it is "bacterial SSU rRNA". It matches the Rfam family "Bacterial small subunit ribosomal RNA", at positions 113 to 508 of the family's 1533-position model. The record is from RNAcentral.
ACGCGUAUGUAAUCUGCCUUGUACAGAGGGAUAGCCCAGAGAAAUUUGGAUUAAUACCUCAUAGUAUUACUGAAUCGCAUGAUUUGGUAAUUAAAGCUCCGGCGGUACAAGAUGAACAUGCGUGACAUUAGCUAGUUGGUAAGGUAACGGCUUACCAAGGCCACGAUGUCUAGGGGUUCUGAGAGGAUGAUCCCCCACACUGGUACUGAGACACGGACCAGACUCCUACGGGAGGCAGCAGUGAGGAAUAUUGGUCAAUGGACGCAAGUCUGAACCAGCCAUCCCGCGUGAAGGAUGACUGCCCUAUGGGUUGUAAACUUCUUUUAUAUGCAAAUAAACCUACUUUCGUGAAAGUAGCUGAAGGUAGCAUAUGAAUAAACACCGGCUAACUCCGUGC